Molecule: ribosomal RNA, 255 nt
Filed under: uncultured bacterium
Lineage: Bacteria
Description: partial 16S ribosomal RNA
Rfam family: Bacterial small subunit ribosomal RNA
Source: RNAcentral
UACGUAGGGUGCGAGCGUUGUCCGGAAUUAUUGGGCGUAAAGAGCUCGUAGGCGGUGUGUCGCGUUCGGCCGUGAAAACCUGCAGCUUAACUGUGGGCUUGCGGUCGAUACGGGCAUCACUGGAGUUCGGCAGGGGAGACUGGAAUUCCUGGUGUAGCGGUGAAAUGCGCAGAUAUCAGGAGGAACACCGAUGGCGAAGGCAGGUCUCUGGGCAUUAACUGACGCUGAGGAGCGAAAGCAUGGGGAGCGAACAGG